AUUGAACGCUGGCGGCAUGCCUUACACAUGCAAGUCGAACGGUAACAGGUCUUCGGACGCUGACGAGUGGCGAACGGGUGAGUAAUACAUCGGAACGUGCCCGAUCGUGGGGGAUAACGAGGCGAAAGCUUUGCUAAUACCGCAUACGAUCUACGGAUGAAAGCGGGGGAUCUUCGGACCUCGCGCGGACGGAGCGGCCGAUGGCAGAUUAGGUAGUUGGUGGGAUAAAAGCUUACCAAGCCGACGAUCUGUAGCUGGUCUGAGAGGAUGAUCAGCCACACUGGAACUGAGACACGGCCCAGACUCCUACGGGAGGCAGCAGUGGGGAAUUUUGGACAAUGGGCGAAAGCCUGAUCCAGCCAUGCCGCGUGCAGGAUGAAGGCCUUCGGGUUGUAAACUGCUUUUGUACGGAACGAAAAGCCUCUUUCUAAUAAAGAGGGGUCAUGACGGUACCGUAAGAAUAAGCACCGGCUAACUACGUG
This 482-nucleotide ribosomal RNA is filed under the name uncultured bacterium. RNAcentral describes it as "partial 16S ribosomal RNA". It matches the Rfam family "Bacterial small subunit ribosomal RNA", at positions 30 to 507 of the family's 1533-position model. The record is from RNAcentral.